Molecule: long non-coding RNA, 27067 nt
Filed under: Olea europaea (common olive)
Lineage: Eukaryota; Viridiplantae; Streptophyta; Magnoliopsida; Lamiales; Oleaceae
Description: long non-coding RNA (OEUR_LNC015004)
Source: RNAcentral
AGUUUGGGCUUUAAGCAGAAGGGGAAUCGGAUGAGUUGGUUGCAGCCCUUUUCUUGGCAAAGUAUUCUUCAGCACGUGCAGGGUUCUUUGCGACGGAUGGCGUCACCCACUUCUUUCGACCAGGAAGAACAGUCAAGGAACAACCUGCAACCUCAAGCUUCUCCUUUGCUGAAGUCGACAAGGCACGAGCCUUGAAGUUUAGUUUCACACUCAGUUGUCCAUCACCUAUGAUGUGAAAAGAAAGAAAGAUGAGCAACUUAACACCAAUAGUAAAGAACAUUUUCUUCCUCCUUUUCAUACAAGAAGUGUAGUAUAUUCGUUCAUCUAGAUGCAUGCAUUAUUCUUGUGCUUAAAUGAUAACCACCACCUACGGCUUUUGCGUUGAACCCAUUAAUUCAAAUUAACAAGUUAAUGAGGGUACAUAUGAAUUUCCAAUUAAGCUAGUAACAAAAAGUUUCUAGGUUGAGAUGACACAAUGUAUUGAGAAAAUUAGUAGUUCGGAAGAAAGAGAAUGAUUGAAAAAAAAUUACACCUAUACGAACUAUAACGUCCCAUACCUAAUUAGUGGUGCCCAAAACUCAACUAUCAUGACUAAAAAGUUAAUUGUGCAAUAAUAAGUGUAACAUAUACACUUAUUUGGACUUCUAUACUUGAUUAUUUAUUACUAAUUGAGCGAAAAUCUAUCUAAUAUAGGUUAAUUAUGUUAAUAUUAUAGGUAUACGGGUACAUCCCCCACAUAAAAUGCAUUAUAAUGCAAUUGGUGUAGGCGUUUCAAGCUAAAAUUGGAGUUUAUUCAAUUCAAUUGAAGAUCAAUCUAAUUGCAUACGAUCAAUUGGAAACAUUAAUGGAGCAAUUGGAAGAGAUUCACAAGUGUCAGGAGCUAAAUCCAUUGUUUGAAAAAGCUUAAACACUCAAUUGCAAACUCUUGAAACAUGCAUUGAUGAUUGAAGUACAGUGGUUUAAAGAUGAAGUACCCAAGAUGCAAAUAAGAAGGGACUAGAGCUGAACAAAAGAGAAAAUUUAGAAGCGAGAAACAUUCUAUUCCUUGCAAUCGCAAGAAGUGACCCAUUACGAUUGCAAGACCUGCAGAACUGCAAGAUGGAUCAGUUCAUGCAGGCAAAAAGUUCAGUGUGAGAAUAUGGUUCUCUUAACUCCAUUAGACUUAAGUGUUAUUUGUGUAAUUCACAUGAAUUGUGCUUGUCUAGUUUUACUAUGGACCAUUGGAUGGGAUCGACGGUCGAGAUUAAAUCUAUUUGAGAUAUUUUUGUUGCCUUGUCUUGGGGGAGAAGUUUUGACUUGAAAGUUACCACAAAAAGGGCUUCCCCCACGUUUUUGCAACACAGGUCUUUUCUCUCUUCUCGAGUCGACCACUCUUUCCAUUUUGCACCUUCUGCUUGAUAGAAGGUUGAGGGUGCAUUGGUGGCGGUUUCUAGCGAGGUUCUUUGCCGGUUUCUCUCUCUCUCUUUGGAAGGUGAUUUGCAUGACAUGGGAGCUGUUCUUGAGCUUAUAAAUCAACCAUAAGGAAGAGGAGAUGUUGGUAUCCAUUUCAGCCGAGAUUGGGUUGUGUUUUUCCAUUUUAUAUUCCUUGAUUUUGUCUUGGAAUCUUUUAUUGAUUGAUGUUUAUUGUUUGAUUGAACUCCAAGGAUCCCAACAAAUUGUAUCAGAGCAAGGAGGAGUGAAAUCUGUCCAAAAAUCGAUCGAAACCUCCAAGGAAAUUGCGAUUCCCACUUUUGGCCGAAUCUAAAACUUCAAAUUUCGGCCAAACUACUGACUUUUUGGCGAAACUGACCCUGGACCCAUAACCAGCAGACAAAGGCGCUCCCUGUGGUGGGGCGCGUGACCGGAGCAGCGACCGACAGAUCGUGAACUCCGGCAACGACGCGUGGCUAGACAUUCCGACGAGCUUUUUUCGGGCAGUUUACUUAUUUCGAUGUCCUGAACGCACUGAUGUCGUUUGUUUUCUGUUUCAGGUCUUACAGAAAAAGUUGGACAAUUUUGUCCCUAGCUUGACGUCUACAGCAAUUCGGUUCAGAAACUUGGUGGUAUAUUUACUGUUUUUCAACAGUAGUUUGGUAAGAUUAUUCCAAACUCUCUGUUAGGUUAGGUUUGGUAUCCUUACCGAUUUAUGCAUGAUUAUUGCUUGGUUGCCUAUUUGUGAAUUCCGUUGAUUGAAUUCUUGUGAUUAAUUUGUAACCUGGAAGCAUAUUUACUUGCAUUAUAUACCUGUGUUUCAUGAACGGAUUAUGUCAUUGUUGUGCUUCAUUUCUAAAAUUGUUUUUUAACUCAGCAUUCAUAUUUUUUAGAUCGAUCAUCUGGAAAAGAAUUUUUCAAAACCUAUUCUGUUUUGUCCACGAGUACAGGCCACUCUUUUACAGAAUCUGUAAUGGGUUCGAGGGUUGAACUAUCGCAAUUCGAUGGAAAGGGGAUUACUCGAUAUGGAAACAGAAAAUGAGGGCCAUUUUGGUCCAACAGAGAGUUGCUAAAGCUCUCGAUGACCCUGCUACAUUUUCUGAUGAGUUAAAAGCUAAACCAACUGAAAUUGAAGACAUGAAUGAAAUUGCUUACAGUUCUAUAAUUUUGCAUCUAUUUGACAACAUUGUGAGACAAGUUGAUAGUGCUAAAACUGCUAGAACUUUGUGGACUGCUUUAGAUGCCUUGUUCUUAACUAAAACUUUACCUAACAAAAUAUACCUGUUGGAAAAGUUGUUUAGUUUUAAGAUGGACCCGGGGAAGGAUGUCGAGGGGAAUUUGAGUGACUUUAGCAUAAUUGUUAAGAGUCUAGCUCAUAAUGAUAAAAAAUUUGACGAUGAUGAUUUAGCUGUCAUAUUGCUAAACUCUUUAGCCGAAUCUUACAGAGAAAUGAAAAAUGCCAUAAAAUAUGGUAGGGACACUCACUCAAGCUAUUGUUUCCGAUGCUUUAAAAUCAAGAGAACUUGAAUUAAAAAGAGACAACAGAACUCAUUCUCGGGAAGAGAGUCUAUUUAUUAGGGGAAGACUUGAAAAGAAAGAAUUCAACUUCCAUAACAAGAAGGGGAGAGGAAAAUCUAAAAUGAAAUCUAAAUCUAAAGAUAAAAGCGGUAAGAAAUGUUAUCACUGUGGUAAGUUAGGACAUUUCAAGAAAGACUGUUCGACUGGAAAAGGAAACAAAAAGACCCGAACAAUUCUGAUGUUGAUAAUGCUGCUAUUGUUUCUGAAUUUGAUAGUUUGCCUGUCAUGAAUGUGUCUGAGGAAGAAUUUGACAAAAAUUGGAUUCUAGACACAGGGUGCACUUUCCAUAUGUGCCCUGAUAGGUCUUGGUUCUAUAACUAUAGAGAGACUGAACCUGGGAAGGUCUACAUGGGAGACAAUAAUUCUCAAAAUGUGGUUGGAGUUGGUGACAUAGCCACCAGAAUGUACGAUGGGGCCGUCACGCAACUCAAAAAUGUUAGAUAUGUCCCAAAUUUAAAGAGGAACCUCAUUCCUUAGGUUCUCUUGAAGAUGAGGGAUAUACCUUCAAGUCUGGUAACAAGAUUUUGAAAAUUAUGAAGGGUUCUCUCAUAGUUAUGAAAGGGCCUAAGAGGAAUGGACUGUACUAUCUUGAGGGUAGAACUAAAAUACCAGUUGAUUCUAGCCUUCUUCCUGUGAGUAAAGACAAAACUGAACUUUGGCAUAACAUAAUGGGUCACAUUGGGUUUAAAGGGCUAAAAUCUUUAAGUAAUCAGAAAUUACUUGGAAAAGAUGACAUCGAAACUAUGGAAUUAUGUGAAACUUGUGUCUUGGGUAAGUCCCAUAAGGUGAGCUUUGAAGCUAGCUCUCAUAGGACCAGCAGACCGUUGGACUAUGUCCAUGCUGAUCUAUGGGGCCCGGAGAACCACUCCACAUUUGGUGGAAGCAAAUAUUUCUUGUCUUUAGUGGAUGAUUACUCAAGAAAAGUUUGGAUUUAUCCUUUGAAGGCCAAGUCGGAAACUUUUGGGAAAUUCAGGGUUUGGUUAAAGUCUAUUGAGAAUCAGUUAGAUAAGAAACUUAAAACAUUAAGAACUGAUAAUGGGCUUGAAUUCUGUAAUAUCGGAUUUGACAACUUCUGUAAGCAGAAAGGUAUAACAAGACACAGAACUGUUAAAUACACACCUGAACAAAAUGGGGUCGCUGAAAGAAUGAACAGGACCAUAAUGAACUAAGUUAAGCGUAUGUUGAUUAGCUCUGGCCUUGCGAAAGGUUUUUGGGCUGAAGCUGCAAGUACUGCAACUUAUCUGAUUAAUAGCUCUCCGUCCAGCAAUAUAGGGUUUAAGACCCUACAGGAGUUGUGGACGGGAGAGCCUCCAAAUCUAGAACACUUGAGGGUGUUUGGAUGUGCUGCAUAUGCACACCAAUCUGAAGGGAAACUUGAGCCGAGGGCUGUCAAGUGUGUGAUGUUAGGGUAUCCCGAGGGUGUGAAGGGCUAUAGGUUAUGGGCUUUAGGGGUCCAAGUCAUUAAGAUUAUUAAUAGCAGGAAUGUAGUCUUUAAUGAAUCUGAGAUGCCAUGUCUAAAACAGAAAACUGAAGAAAUUAACAAAUUUGAAACUGAGAAGAGUAUUCAGACUGAGGUGAAGCUGACUAGGCUAAAUUCACCUACACCUGGGAAUGACAAAAAUGAGCCUAUACAUCAUGAAAAUGAAAAUGAAAUUGAAACUGAACCCGAAGAGGUGACUGAACUUCAAGAUAACAUUGAACCAGUUGAAGUUGAACAUUUUAAUGAUCAGCCAUCUAAUCAAGAUUAUCAGCUUACUAGGGAUCGGGGGAGGAGGCAGAUCAGGCCAAAUCCUAGAUAUGAAUCCCUAAACUUGACUGAUUUUGCCUUGUUUCAGGUGAAACCCUUGAACAGAUAGAACCUGCUAGUUAUAAAGAAGCUGUUAAUGAAAAUGUUCUGAAAAUUGGCUAAAAGCUAUGCAGGAAGAAAUGGAAUCUUUAAUGGAGAAUGAAACUUGGAAGUUAGUUAACAAACCUAAGGAUCAUAGGAUAGUUCAAUGUAAGUGGAUUUACAAAUUGAAAGAAGGAAAUAAUCCUAGUGAUCCCCUAGGUAUAAGGCCAGAUUAGCAGGGAAAGGAUUCACUCAAAAGGAGGGGGUUGAUUACAAUGAGAUAUUCUCUCUUGUGAUAAAGUACAAAACAAUCAGACUGGUUUUUGCAUUGGUUGUUCUGUUCAACUGGGAACUGGAACAACUAGAUGUCAAGACUGCUUUCCUACAUGGGGAAUUGGAAGAUGAUAUUUACAUGAGUCAGUCUCAAGGUUUUGAGGUGAAAGGUAAAAUAAACUGUGUGUGCAAAUUAGAAAGAUCUCUGUAUGGGCUUAAACAAAGCCCUAGACAGUGGUACAUAAUGUUCGAUACCUAUGUACUGAAGAUAGGUUUUAAAAAGAGUGAAUAUGAUGCAUGCCUGUACUAUAAUGAUAGCAAGGAGGGCUGUGAGGUCUACUUGUUGCUGUAUGUAGAUGACAUACUUCUAGCAAGUUCAAGUAAGACUGAAAUCACUAAGAUGAAGAACCUUUUAAAAUCAGAAUUCGAUAUGAAAGAUUUGGGGAGUGCUAAGAAGAUUUUGGGGAUGGUUAUAAAGAGAGAUAAGGCUGAAAAUAGACUAGUCAAUUCCCAAGAAGCCUAUCUAAACAAAGUCAUAACUAAAUUUUAUAUGAAUGAAUCAAAAUCUGUGACCGUUCCCUUAGCAGCUCACAUGAAUCUUUCUAGUGCACAUUCUCCUAAAACUGAGGAGGAAUUUAGAGAAAUGAGGAACAUACCCUACUCUAAUGCUAUAGGUUCCGUUAUGUUCUCUAUGAUAACAACCAGGCCCGACUUAGCCUAUGCUAUAAGUUUUUUGAGCAGAUUUAUGUCCAACCCUGGAAAGCUCCAUUGGGCAGGUUUGAAAUGGUUGUUAAGGUACAUUGUUGGUACAUUAAAUCUGGGUCUAGUGUAUGAAAAAAGAUCUGAAAAACUUACUCUAAAGGGGUAUAUAGAUUCUGAUUUUGCUGGUGACAAGGAUAACAGAAAGUCUACCUCAGCUUACUUUUUUACACUUGGUGACAAUUGUAUAACAUGGAAGUCACAGCUGCAGCCUUUAGUUACUUUGUCAAGUACUGAGGCAGAGUAUGUUGCCAUAAUCGAGGCGGCUAAGGAAUGUACCGGGUUAAAAGGAAUUUUAAGGGAAUUGAACUUCAUGCAUGAUACACCUGUUAUGUUUACUGAUAGUCAAAGUGCUUUAUCGUUUUGUAAGAAUCCUGUUUAUCGUGAAAGAACUAAACAUAUUGAGGUGAAGUGUCAUUUUAUUCGUGAGAAACUGUCUCAAGGUGAAGUUAAUCUUGUUAAAAUUCACACUGAAAGGAAUCCCUCUGAUGUGGGAACAAAAAUUCUACCUGCAGGUAAAUUUAAAUUUGUGCUUAUCUUUAUUACAUAUUGACACUGGUUAAUUUUUCUUGCAGGUAGUCGGCGAUGAUGAUGAACAGUUCUUCCAUGUGCAAAUUCGCAACCAAGAGAGAGUAUUAUGAGAACCAAGGUGAAGAAUGUGAGAAUAUGGUUCUCUUAACUCCAUUAGACUUAAGUGCUAUUUGUGUAAUUCACAUGGAUUGUGCUUGUCUAGUUUUAUUAUGGACCAUUGGAUGGGAUCGACGGCUGAGAUUUAAUCUAUUUGAGAUAUUUUUGUUGCCUUGUCUUGGGGGAGAAGUUUUGACUUGAAAGUUACCACAAAAGGGGCUUCCCCCACGUUUUUGCAACACAGGUCUUUUCUCUCUUCUCCAGUCGACCACUCUCUCCAUUUUGCACCUUCUGCUUGGUAGAAGGUUGAGGGUGCGUUGGUGGCGGUUUCUACCGAGGUUCUUUGCCGGUUUCUCUCUCUCUUGUUAGAAGGUGAUUUGCAUGAUAUGGGAGCUGUUCCUGAGCCUAUAAAUCAGCCAUAAGGAAGAGGAGAAGUUGCUGUCCAUUUCGGCCGAGAUUGGGUUGUGUUUUUCCAUUUUAUAUUCCUUGAUUUUGCCUUGAAAUCUUUUAUUGAUUGAUGUUUAUUGUUUGAUUGAACUCCAAGGAUCCCAACACUCAGCAUGUGCGAUUGCAGGUAUCCUUACCUUGCAAUCUCGUGGAUAAAAUUCCCAGAAGAUUUUGUUCCCAAAAUUGAGAUAUUCCUUCAAGCUUUAAAGAAGUUUGUAAUAAAAAACAUCAACUCUACAUCAAUUCAUACAUUAUUGUUUGGAGUCGAAGAAGAAGAAGAUAUCGCGGAGGCAAUUCAAGAGCCAUUGAAUGAAUUCAAGAUUCAAGAGUGUUUUGCAUAUUUCUUCACAACCUUUAAUUUCAGGUGAUGAUGUAUCGUUCUAAAUUGUGUUUCUGUAUUAUUACGAUGCUUGACUAGUUUUACAGAUGCUAGGAUAAUAUUGAACCCUAUGUUUUGAUAUUAAAUUUUGGAUUCUGACACUUUAAAUGUUGGCUUGAUUUGAAUGAUUCUUAGGAGUUUAAUUCUUUUCAAGUAAUUGGCAACUAAUUUUAUUAAUUUAUAAUUUCUAUUGACAGGCGGGAGAAUGAAUAGAAACUUAGCACAAGUAGCAAUAACUUUAAGUUUCUAUCUAUGUUGGCGAUAAAUGACUAUGCUUUGCAUGAUCUAAUCGAUUGUUCUUGUGCUUAAUGCAUCGUCAUAUGUUCGCAUUCGAAAUAUAGAUAUUAAUGGGUCAUAUGUGAGGAUAUGUUUGAUUCUACUUGAGAAAGAUUAUUAAACAAGAUAUGAACAUUGAUAUUCAUAUCCAAAUGAAUGUCAUCAAAUUAUGGAAUUAAUAUUUAAAUGGAUGAACGUAAGGAUUUGGGAUCCUAGUGCUUUUGUAAUUUAAUGAGUAUUCAUAAACGCUUCCUACCACUUAAUAGGAUCACUUAGGUAAGCUAUAGAUUUAGGUUGUUAAUACAAACCAUAUAUGUAAUUUUGUUAUUUGAUUAGAGUUAUGUUAAUUGAAAAUGAAUUAGAUAUUUAGUACUUGUUAUUUGAGAAGGCAAGCCAAUGAUACCUCUGUUUUCCUCCACAGCACAAGAAAUAGAAGAGGAUGACAGAAAAGCAUGAAUAAACAAUCAAUUGAGUUCUUAUUCACCAGUUCAUUAAAACAAAAAGGUUUUCAUGUUAGGAAGACUUGUAAUAGAAGCCAUUCACUUGAAUAAGAGAUUAAUGAAAAGUGGUUUAUUUUUAUUUUUUUUUAGAAAAGGAAAAAGAAACGAGCCUAUGAUAAGAUGCCUAGUGAAGUGCUAUGCCAUGUGCUAGAGAAAAAAUGAACAUCUAUUAGAUACAACAAUGUUAUUAAUUAUCUAUUAGAUACGCCAAUGUUAUUAACGACCUGUAUGAUGGAGCAGUCACAAGUAGAAAUGUAGUGACAAUAUUAGUAGAGAUUUCCCAAUUAGUAUAGGCAUGCAUAAUGUUUCAGUCAUAUGUCCUUAUAUUUUUGCAUAGCCAUCAGUCAUAUAUGAGUUUACUGACAUAAUCGAGAUGAGAUCCUUUGGUGUAUGUUAUCAGCUGAAGACAUUUACUUGAUAAGACAAAAGAGUAUUAAGUUAAACUGUGGCAGCUAUAUGUUUUAGAUUGAAUGAUAAGACACAAUAUAAGCAACCAAUCAUUAUGGUUCCAUUAGCUUCAACUGACAGUUUGUUGAAAUGGAAAAUUGAUUUUCAUGAGACGACAAUUUACAAGCAAAACACCAACAUUACGUCUCGACAGUUCGUAUGUUGUUCCCGAUAGAUGGUCUCUGUAAUUCUCGACAGUUGGAAACAAUAAUGGCUCCCAAAAAUACACUACCAUGAUUAUCCAUUAUGGACAUGCUGUUGUUGCACGUACGCAGAUGAUGUGACCAAAAUUAUCCCUACCACAAAAUACUAUACAUAAUUUCUUACAAAGGGGUAAUUUAUUGCACACUUGCAUUGCUAUCUCCAUUUUAAGCUUCUCCCCCAUUUCCUCCAUCAGAAUUGUCUGAGCUUAUGACAAUAAUUUUUGGAGGUGGAAGGUGAGCCAGCCACUCAUCCGAGUCGGACGCUGAUUAGAUCGGACCCCUAACCUCAAAGACUUGAUCAAGCACGCUGUUCGAUGACUUGGAUUAUGCACUUGACACUUCGUCGAACUCAGCACCAUGGUGCUCAACGCUUACCUCCUCAUCGUUCGAGGAUAAAACGAUGAGAAAUUCAGCGGAUGCAUAUUAGGGUUGAAUAGUUUGUUGCUAGUGGUGGAUGAACACAUUAUCUCGUAUCAACAAACAGUUUCAAUAUGGGAGUCUCACAAGAGAUUCUCUAGUCUUUCAAGGGGUGGAUUAUGAACAUAAAUUCAUGCACUUCUAUUUAUAAUGAACUUGUUGGAGGAUGAUUUCUUAUGGUCAAUUAGUUCCUAACUACCAACUUAUUUUCAUCACAUCUCAAAUUUAAUUUGAUAGACAAUUCGUGUGAUUCCUUGAACCACAAAGUGUACUUGUAUUGGUCAGACCUAUCAUUUCCUCAUUGGUUUUUUAAAGGAGAAACAUAUAAAAUGCACAAAUUUCCAUUUUUUCCGAAAGCGAGAAACUUAUAAUCUUUAUAAUUUCCAUUUAUAAACUAUUAUUCGGGUAUUGAUUAAACUUAUAAUUUUCAUUUUUUCGAAAGUGAGAAACUUAUAAAAUGAACUAAUUUCCUCAUUUUUCGAAAGCGAAAAACUUAUCAAAUGCACCAAUUUUUAUUUUUCAAUUGGAUACUAGUUUUAAUAUUUAGGUCGAACGAGUUCAAAAAGCAAGAAACUUACAAAGUAUGCCAAAAAAGUUUCCGUACCAACAUUUUCCCUACUAAAUCCACACUGUUUCUUUGACAGUGGAUGCCACUUGAACAUAACCAACAUUUCCCAAAAAAACAAAUAUACAAUAAUGUAAAAUAAAAUGUACCUCCAUGUAUUCUCCACAGUCAUCCGAAGUGGAACAUUGUCAAUGUCGCUCUUUCUUUGACAGGAACAUCGAUUGAUUCCACCUCCCAUUAUAGUUGAUGCCAAUGGUACAUCAGUGUGUACUUCUAUUCAGAAGUGGUUUGUGUCGUAUUAGUUACCAAAAUUUAAUAAUGGAAGAAAAUAAUAUAUUUUAUCAAGAUUUGAAGUAUAACAUCGAAACGAUACGUUUGUCUUCAACUAAACAUAUUUAAUGUAAAACAUAAGAAUUUGAUUUUGUAUAACUACCUCAUUAUUGAACUUACCAUCUGCCACAAGCGUGGAGAACUUCAUGACUGUCCGAUCAUAUCCUUAUGGUCUACACCUUCAUAUGAAAUAAUCAAGUUUCAAAUUCCAAGGUUAAGAAAUCAAAACAGUUGAGCAAUUGUUUUUUAAAACUAAAAGUAGUAACAUAUAUCAAUUGUCUCCUUUACCCAUCUAGUCAACGAACCCUUCGGUGGUUUGGGCUACCAACUUUCAGGUCGGUAUCUUCAUGCAAGACAAUCAUGCUUGAAAUCAUAAAGAUAAAAACUCAAAACAGUGGGACAAAUGCGUUUUUCAAUUAAAGUAAUAAUACAUACCAAUCUCCUCAUUUACUUAGCUAGCCGAUGGACCCUUCGUUAGUCUAGGCAAGCACCUUUUUGGUUGGUCACUUCUUUAUCUAGAAUGAUAGUUUAUCUCUACAGAUGAAUUCAUAACUAUUAUUUUUAUAUUUCAUGAAGUAAUAAUGGUGUUCAGAUUAUAUGUUAUACAUUUCAACCCCUAAAAUUACACGUAGAAGAGAAGUUUAACAAAAUAUGGCUUCUGCAAUCAACUGCCGAGAUAAGUGGGUCAACUGUUGAGAAUUUCAGAGCCUAACUGUCGAGAAUGACAUUUCAUCUCGACACAUGAUUUCGUUACUAUCAUAUUGACAUUUACGUUUCACAUUCAUAUUGAUUUUCUAAGACAUGAAGGGUUAAGUUAUAACAGACAUGAUAUGUGUUAUACUUAUAGCUUCAAAUAACAUCACUUUUCAUAUACUCAGCCCUAAGUUUUAUAUGUAAAUGCAAAGACAUUUUUAAGAAUAAAAAAUAGAAUGAUCCAACACUAAAACAACAUUCAAAUAACCCUGAAUAAUCAUAUAAAGACACACUUAAUCGAGCUUAUUUGUGCAUGUUGACAAGAAUAUACCCAGUUCAAUCUUACCUCAUUUCACAAACUCAAAAAUUAAACUCAAACUCAAUUUGCCUAAUAAUGACCAAUAACUAUUAUUUACAUGAAAGAAAAGUGAAAGCCAUAAUUAUAAGUAAUAAAUUCAUAAAUAAUUUACAUAAAUCAUAAUGUUAACAUUUUCAUAGAACUAGAAAAAUAGACAACAAAAAUUGAAAAAAUGAGACAUAUUGUACCAAUUUAGGUCAAAAAUGGUGAAGAAUAAAAAAAAAUACCCCUAAAUUUUAAAAAUUAGAAGAGAAGAGAGCAACAAAUGGAAAAGGAAAGAAAAAAGAAAACCUCAAGAUAUUAAUGGUGAUCUUCGUCGACAAUGGAUUGAUUAACAGUCAUUUGACUUCAAGCCUGGACAAAAUGGAGGAUUUUAAUGUCGCCUGCGGCCUUGAGCGAGAGGAAAUGAGAGAGUAAACUAAGCCAUUUAGAUUUAGGGAAUGAGAGAGAGAAGAGAGGAUAUUUACCUUUUUAUAGAAUGAGAGAGAGAAUGAAGUAUUUGUGUGUGUGUGUGUGUGUAUAAGUACAUAAGUAUUGAGGUGAGAGCAUUUGAUGUGAUGUUUUAAAUUUUUUUAUGCUAUUUUUCAUCUAGUCAAAUCGGCUCUUAAUGAAGGAUAUUUGGAUAUAUAUGGCAUUUGAAUUAUCUAGAGGGGCAAAAAUGUCCAAAAUUGACAAUCUUGCAAAGACUUUAAAAAAAUGAUAUUUUUGUAAAUGUAAAGCCAAAAAUUGAUUAUUUUAAUAAUUUCCACUUAUAUUAUUUUAUUAUAUUUCUAUCUUUUAACUUUUGCUUACUUAGGGAUGAUAAUGAGUCUGAACGAGACUAGGACAAUCAAGGAUUUCACGAUGUCGAGUAGGGAAGGACGACUGAGGGCGUGGGGAUGAGAGUGGGUCGAGGAUUAAAAAAUUUCGAUAUACGAUCUUGUUUAAUUGUUUAUAUAUAUUAUUUUCAAAUACUAUUUAAAUUGAAAAACAUAAACAUAUAAAUAAAGUGAUUUAGUGCAGGUUCAAAGUACAAAGUUCCUUGUACUGUUUACUAUUUGGAUCGAGCAAUGCAAGACGGGAAUGGAGAAUUUUAUCAUCCCUAUUUGCCCUUUUGAACACGUGUGAUCUCUAUUAGAGUUAGACACAUGUUGAUAGCCCUCCUUUUCUAUGGAACUUGAAAAAUAAAUUCCAUUUUCCAUCUUUAAGGUGUGUUUGAUGGCAAAAAAUUGGCAUAGAAUUCAUUUUCCAUUUUUUGCCUCACGUGAUGUCUUUUCUAGCUUUUUAGUGAAUUGCAAUUCCCACCAAAUAGGUGGGAUUUGCUUUUCCAACUUUUUUUUUUUUUUUUUUUUCAGAUUUUUUUUUUUUUUUUUUUUGGGAAAUUAAAAAAAAAUUUUAAAAAAAUUUUAAAUUUUUUGGGCAAUGAAAACAAAUUCUAGAAAUAAUUGUAAAAGAGAAUAUCUCUUAAAUUAACAAUUUCAAUGUAAAACAAGGUCAAACAAACACUAAAAUAUAGAUGAUUUUUGGUUUUGCUGAUUUUUUUUUAUUUUUUAUUUUUGCAAUGGAAACAAAUUUUAUAAACAAUUGUAAAAGAAGAUAUUCCUUAAAUUGACAAUUUUCAUGAAAAACAAAACCAAACGAACAUCAAAGGACACUUUAAUUUCAACAUUUUUUAGGUGGAAAGUUAUACCAAUCAAAUACUAUUAAUUGACAAUUCUCAUGAAAACAAUUUCUAGACAAUUUAAUUUCCUGGAAUUUAUUUUCUUUCCACUCAAAUUUCAUAUUUACAAUCAAACGGGCCCUUAAUACUUUAAAAGUGACUCUUCACCGAAUAAGUCAAGCUAAUUAAAAAGAAUCAUAAAAUUUUUUCCAAUACUACUAAUAAUGCAAUUCCUCUAAAAUUCAAAAAAUAAAAAUUACUUGAGAUCUACUUUCAAUUUUGUGGCACCCGUAGCAGAAUAAUUAACUACAGCACAUCGUGUUACAUGCUAAUCAAGUCGAAGCAUAAGUUAAUGAUGUUUUCAUUUACUAAACUUGCCAUUAGGAUGUAGUAUUUGAGCCGCUACAUCUAACAACAUGACACUUUUAUUGCUUUACCAAUUACCACAAACAUUUUUCACGAUCUAAGUCGAUCCUAUUUUGUUUGUGCCGUUGCUUCAAGAGUCACUUUCCUUUCCCUAUAAUGCUUGCUUACUAAAACCUUGAAAAAAAAAAUCAUUACAUUGUUUGAAAAUGACUUACUUACCUUCUAACCUAAAUAAUUAAAAAGUGAAAGAUCAAGAACAGCAUAAAAUUUAAUCAACUCCUCCUAACCUAAGCCCUCGUUUGAUUCUCGUUAUUUGGCCAUAAAAAUGAAAAAUAUGACCGUUAUUCAUUAAAUCUGGCCACCACAUUUGAUUUUCUAUCUUUUGUGUGGUCCCAUUACGACUAUAUUUUUUAUUUUCAUUUUUACAAAAAUGGAUACUAAAUGAGGCCUAAAUAAGUAAAAAAGUGAAAGAUCAAGAACAACAUUCUGAAGAAAUUUGAGUUUGAAACAGUGAAAAUCGGAAUAAAGAUUGGAAACAGUAGCUAAAAUUUUUCCAAAUUAAAAUUUUAUCUAUUUGACUUUAAAUCAUUUUUUAUUAGUUUUCAACUUAAACAUCAUUUUUAUGAACAGGAUAAAAGAAUAAGAAACUGGACAUACCCAAAAAAAAUUAAAAAUAGUGCUAAAUAUACAUGUAAAAUUAGGGGGAAAAGUCAAUGGGGGUAUCUAGUGGUUAGUUGUACUUUGAAUUUUGUACCUAAUUUUUUAUGUAUUUAUUUAUUUAUCGUGUAACGUUGGGGGAUAGUGGGUUGGAUUUUAACCUUAACGAAACUUUUCGCUCACAAAAAUAAAUAAAUAAAUAAAUUCUAAAGUGACUCGUAUAUAAAAUAAGGUAUUAAUUGAGAACACAAUAAGCUUUUUACUUUUCAAGUGCUUGUUUGUUACGGAUUAAAAGUCAAUUAAAAUCAAUUUUUUAUCGUUAUUUCACUAUUUCAGCCGUCAUUUUUAAAUCAUUCUCUCACAGGUAGGACCCACUUUAUUUCUAACAGUCAAAAAAUUAAUUAUCAAAAUCUCUACUAAACAAGCUCUAAAUAAAUAAAAGAAAUAACGGAGAAGGAAAAAAAAAAGGGAAAAUAAUAGGAUAUAUGACAAUUGUCCAUAUUGGUGCUGACAAUUUGCUAGCAAACUCUCAAGAUAGGAUUAUGCUGGACGGACUGGACAUUAAUUUCUAAAGUGACUCUUAUAUAAAACAAGAUGUUAAUUGCACUCCCUCCAAUAGGGGGAAACCAAUUAGGCGCCCUGUUUGAACAGAGUAUACGUGGUCCUGUCCAAAUAUCUUUAUCCCCCCAAGAUAGAAUGUUUGUUUGAUACAAAUUUUAAAUCGAUUAAAAAUCAAUUUUUUGACUGAUAUUUCACUAUUCUAGUCAUCAUUUUUUAAUUAUUCUCUUACAAGUAGAACUCACUUUAUUUCUAACAGUCAAAAAAUUAAUUAUCAAAAUCUCUACCAAACAAGCACAUAAAACCCACUAGUUUUUAGCAUUUCAAAUUACAAGAACAACAAACAAACUAUUUGUACUCAAAAUGAAACAGUAUACAAUGUGUAAUAUGCAAGUGGAAAAAUUUGAAUAAAUUCUACAAACUGGAGAGACCAAUUUAUAGUCGUCAGAAAGUUGUGUUUGAAAAAAGACACAUUUGUUUGGAUCUCAUUUGGACAGAUUUUGUCCAUGAAGACAUGUCUAAAAAAUGACGAUCGCCAACACAUGCCACAUGGUGCAUUCUAGUUCUCUGGUCGCUAUAUCACAUGUUCUAAAAUAUUUAUCUCACUUGUCACUUUAUAAUUAACUUGAUUUUAAAUAUAAAUAUGUAAAUAAAUAAUGAUUUUAUUUCUCUAGAAAGAUAUAUAACCGUCCAUAUAGGGAUGUCAAAAGAGUCGAGCCGCUCCUCGACUCGCUGGCUUGGCUCGUCAAAAUAGGGCUUGUGGACUGCUCGGGCUCGUAAAAUCACUAGCCCGAGCACGAGUCGAGCGAGCCGAGCUAGAAGGCGAGCCCACGACUGGCUCGUUUGAAGUGACCAUUUUGGUCACUUUUUCAGUGACCGUUUGGUCACUAAAACGUCAAUGAAAUUUUUUUUCCCUUCUACUAUAAAUACCCCUUAACCCCGUUUUUUUUUUUUUCAUAUCAAUUAUUCAAUCACUACUCCAACUCUCUCGACUCUCUUUUAUUAUAUCAAUUAUCGAGUUUUUACUUUCUUGUGCUGUAAAAUAUACAAUAUCAAUUCAAUUUUUACAGUUUAUUAGUUACAAUUUCAAUUCAUCUAAUUCUCACAAUCUCACUACAUUUAUAUUUUUCUAGAUAUUAUAUUUGGGUUUCAUCAUAAACAAUCAAACAAAUGGACCAACGUUCAUUUGUUGAGAGCUUAUUCGAUACGGGAUGUGGGCCACAUCAUGACGAAUCGCCUAGAACGCCGCAAAGUCAAUUUUCAAAUGAAUUUGCCGGUGUAAAUGACAUAUCCAUACCUGAAGAUGUUCACAUUCACUGUCAAGGAAGCCACAAUCCAAUUGAUUUGGAUGAUAUUAACGGUCUCGAAGCGGAACAUGAGGACGAAGAUGCCGAAUUAAACAUCCCAAAUGCGAGAGGAAAACGAAAAGGCAAAAAACAAGCAAAAUGUUGGGAUCACUUUAAGUUGAUUUCAACGGGAAAAGUCGUCAAUGGCCUUGGAGAAUCUAAAGCAGUAUGUAAAUACUGCCAACAAAGAUUGACAUGGCAAAAAGGAAUUGGUACCACACAUGUCAACCGUCACUACAAAGCAUGUGCAGCCAGACAUGGACUUCUUCCAGUUGGUCAAACACAAUUGCAAUUUGGCAAUCCAGGCGUCGGUUCUACGACUUCACCCCUAUCCACGUGGGUGUAUUCGGAAGACAAUACUCGAACCGGAAUGGUGAAAUCUGUUGCCGCGCACUGAUUUGCCUCUGGCUAUUCCAGACAAUCAACACUUCGUCUCGUUCGUGAAAGAAUAUUUGCAACCGAGGUAUGUUGGGAUAAGUCGAAACACUCUUCGUGCCGAUACAAUACAAUAUUUCAAUAAUUCAAAACAACAAUUAAUUAUGAAUUUGCAACAAUAUGAGGGUAUUAUAUCUUUAACUUCUGAUAUAUGGGAAGGGAUUAAUAAAAGAGCAUAUAUAGCUGCAACCACACACUAUAGAGACCCAUUUUGGUGCAUGUGUAAGAAAAUUAUUGCUUUUAGAAUUAUUGAGUUUCCUCACAAUGCUAAUAAUAUAUAUAAUGCUAUUAUCAGUAUUAUUAGAGAAUAUAAUUGCGAGACUAAAAUUCGGUCUUUUACUUUUGAUAAUGCUAGUGUUAAUAAGGUAGUCAUCGAUAAAUUGUGUAGGACUCUUCAACCUGAUUUUGGUGGGUAUUUGUUUCAUAUUCGUUAUGUGUGUGUCAUAUCUUGAAUUUAAUUGUGCAAGAUGACUUAAAAUAUAUAAAGGAUGAACUUCAAAGGAUUAGGAAUGCAUUAGUAUAUAUUACAAUCUCUCCUAGUAGAAAACAAGCAUUUGAAGAUUUUUGUGUCGAACUAAGGGUGACGAUUGCUAAAAUAUUUUUUAGCGACGUAGGCCAUAAAUGGAACUCUACUUACUUGCUAUUAAAGUCAUGUGAAGGUUUCGAAAAUUUAAUAAUUGAAUUUUAUAACAAUAGACACGUUAGAAGUGAUGACGAUGGUAUGUUAAAUAAAUUUGAUUGGAUUUUAGUUUUGAAAGUUAAAACGAUUUUUGACCUUUUUUUAUGAGAUCACAAAGAUUUUAUCCGGCAUUUAUUAUCCCACAAGCUGGUUGUAUGGUGCUAGAAUGUCUUUAUAUAAUUGCAAGAACAUUCCAUAAAUAUAAAAAUGAUCCUACUUUUAGUGAAAUUAUAAUUGCUAUGGAAUUAAAGUUUAGAAAAUAUUGGGAAGAACUGUCUAUGUUAUUUCCUUUAGCAUGCGCAAUGGACCCCCGAUAUAAUAUUUCGGGAACUAAAUACGUAAUUGAUCAAAUCAAUAAAACUUGAAUACUUGAUACACCUAUCACCUAUAAGAAUUUAGAGCAAACAUUAUGUGGAAUGUAUGAUUUAUAUGCGGAAAGAAAGGGUGUGAAUGUUAGUCGGGUACCCUCUGCACCUACUCCUUCUGAUGAAAUUGAAGAAGAUGAUGCCGAAAUAAUGAAUUUAUUUCACGGCAUUAAUACAUUUAGAUAUGAUGCAACUGCAAUGUGUUCAUCUAGUGCCAUGUCGUCUACAUUUGCAUCUCAUCAAAUAUCGAUCAAAACUCAAAAUGCGAUGCAUGUCGAAUUAAUUGAUUACUUCAAUCAUAAUAUGCCAACAGACAGAACAAACUAAAAAAAGUUCAGAAGAAGUAAUUAAAUUAUGGCGAAAGUAUGAAAGACGUUGGCCAAUUGUUUCUGCAAUUGCGAAAUAUCUGUUGACACAUCCAGUUAGCACUGUUGUUUCGGAGUUUGCUUUUAGUAUAGGUAAAAGGGUUUUGACCGAUAUCAGGAGUCGACUGAAAGAAAAUGUUUUGGAAGCGUUAAUGUGCGUGAAAGAUUGACAGGACGCUCAUUUUCGACUACAAGAUAAAUACGUUGAAAUUGCAUGUCGUCAGGUAAGUGAUAUUUGAUUCAAUUAUAUUAAUCAAAAUUUCUUUAUUUUUUAAUCGUUAAAUUUAAUUUUCUUUAAAAAAUUUUACAUGUUACAACAAGUUUUUUGUGUACAAUUUUUAACUCUGCCUACUUAAAAUUGAUGUAACCGGUCCCAAGCCCGGAUAAAGGAGGAGUGUUUACAUUUUAUCUACUUUAAAAAGAAAUCAAAAAAUAUAUUUUUGUAAACGUAUUUCAAAAAAUAAUUCGUCUUCAUUAUAUAAAUAUUUUAUAUUUUAUAAAAAAUAUUACAAUAUGAUAUAAAUAAAAAAUUAAAAAAGUGUCUUCAUUAAAUUAUUUAUAUUUUUUAACACUUUUUAUUUUAUUUAAAAGUGUUUUCAUUACAUUAUUUCAUUUAUUUGUGUUUUUCUCUUUAAAAAAAAAAGAAAAAAAAGUGAUGAGCCCACGAGCCGAGCCGAGCCGAGCUUGGGCUCGGCUCGUUGAAAACGAGCCACGAGCUUUGCUCGCCAUCUCGUGAGGUUAAGGGCCGAGCGAGCACACUACGUCCAUAGUUAUGUAUGUGGGCUUUGGAACCACUAGGAUGUAGGUACUCUUUGUUAGCCACUUUAAUUUUGAAAAAUGUAUUAUGGAAUGGUAGAUCGAUGAAGAAUGUGUGAAAAAAGAAUUUUUUUUUAUUUACGUGUAAUAUUAUUUUAAUGAAGAAUGUGUGGUUAGAAAUUAAUACCGUAGAAAAAACAAUGUGUUGGAAUGUAAGUGCUUGUUUGGUAAGGAUUUUAUUAAUUGAUUUUUUGACUGUUAGAGAUAAAAUGGGUCCUACCUGUGAUAGAAGAAUUCAAAAAUGACGGCUGAAAUAGUGAAAUAACGAUCAAAAAAUUGAUAUUAAUUGAAUUAAAAUAUCUACCAAACAUGCUCUAAAAUAAUGGAUAACCGACAUGGGCUUAAUAGUUUAUCUUUGGGGUAUAUUACUCUUGAAUUAUAAAUUUCAGUAUUUCAUGCCACUAGUCAAUUGACGUAUGCAUUAUUUAUUAUUCGUACUGGCAAGUGUAAUUCUUACUGUUACCUCGACUCUUAAAUGAAUGCUUUAUGCUAGUAUAUUGAGUACUUUUUGUAUUGAUUAAUUUUAUUGGGUAAUUAGUACAAAACGUCCUCAUUUUAAAAUGUUAUUGUGCAAAAUAUUCUCAACUUUCAUUUUUUGGCACUUUUAUCCUUACCUUCACCUUUUAUUGCGGAAAUCAUAAUUUUCAUCAAAUUUCUCAUGUAAAAUGACAAAUAUACCUCUUAUUUAAAUAAAAUUAAAAAAAAGUUAAAGAAUAAAUUGCAAUCAUACUCCCAAACUUUUUUAAAAAGUGCAAAUGAUCCAAAUAAAUUAUUAAAAGAGUAAUUAGAAUAAAAUGUCCUACCUUUCAUUAUUAUUGUGCAAAACAUCCAUACUUUUUUUUUUUGAUAUUUUUAACCUUAUUUUUAUAUUUCAUUGCAAAAAAAAAAAUCAUUAUUUUAUUUCAUUUUCUCAAUUAAAAACUGUAAAAUGACAAAUAUAUCAUUCUCUUUAAAUACACAAAAUAAAGAACAAAUUACAACUAUACUCCCAAAUUUUUAAAAAAAAAAGUACAAAUAAAUUUCAAAUAAAUAAUUAAAAAAGAAAAUUUUAUUUGAAAUUUAUUUGUACUUUUUUGAAAAUUUUAAAAAUAUAAUUGCAAUUUGUUCUUUAUUUUUAUUUUUGUUUAUUUAAAGGCGUGUAUAUUUGUCACUUUAUAGCUUUUAAUUGAGAAAAUGAAUGAAAAUAAUGAUUUUCGCAAUGAAAUAUGAAAUAAGGAUGAAAAUGUCAAAAAAUACAAGAUAUGAAUGUUUUUGCACAAUAAGAAUGAGAAGUAUGGACGUUUUGUGCUAAUUACCCUUUUAAUAAUUUAUUUGAAUUCAUUUACACUUUAAAAAAAAAUUUACAGUAUGAUUACAAUUUAUUUUUUUUAUUCUUUUAUUUAAAUAGGGGGUAUAUUUGUCAUUUUAAACGAGAAAUUUGAUUAAAAUGAUGAUUUUCGCAAUAAAAGGUGAAUGUAAGAGUAAAAGUGCCAAAAAAUGAAAGGUAUAGACGUUUUGCACAAUAACAUUGAAAGGUAAGAAUGUUUUGUGCUAAUUACCCUUAUCAGUUUUGGUUCAUUUUCAUGUUUAGAAUUCACUCGCAAACGUGAGAUACAUGAUGAAAAUGGAAAGAGAUUUGUGAAAAAGUCGAAGUUUUGAAGCAAAGUAUAAGAGUAUGGACCAGAGUUUUCAUGAAUUUGAACAUAUGUUUGGAAGUCAUGUUUGCGGACAUUGCAAAAUUCAAGUAAUGAAAAGAAAGAACAAAAUUGCAAUUAAUAUGCAGAAAACUUCAACCAUCAACGAGGCAAUCCCUACUCCAACAUAUAUAAUUUGAGCUGGAAGAAUCACCCAACAAUCAAAAUCAAGAAGCUGCCAAGAUUUCAAUAACCUUAAUUGCAACAAGAAGAAAAAAAAAAUUGAAAGAUAUGUUUUUCCAAUUCAUGAAGAAAAUUGAGAUGAGUCUUCAAAUUGAAGUCGCUAUAAUUAAGAACCUUGAGACAGAUGAGUUAAUUAGAAAUGAUGAUGGAGAAGAGGUAGCAAGAAGCUUUACAAUUACCACAAAAAAUCUAAAAGAAGUUUACAAGCUAUUAACACAAGACGUAGGCUGCAAUUACCUAAGAUCAUGGUUAAAUGACCAAAUACUAAAACAAUAAAGUCAUGAGUACAUGAAAAAUUUAACAGAACUUGUACAAACGUUGACGUGGUAAAAUGUAAGUGGACAAUGUUUCCCUUUUUUUCCCCAUCUUCCAAUGAGGCCGCGCCAAUCUGUAAUUUUUUUUUUUUGUCAAAAAAUUCUGUACUUGUAGCAUAAUUGAAGAUAAGCUGUUACAAACACCACAUAUUGCCCUGACUCUUCAAAUUCUAUGUGCCUUCUAUCCCCUUCUUUCAAAGGUUGCAAAAGCAUAAGUUAGACGUUCAAUUUUCCAAGGUCUUAGAUGUUUUAAAGAAGCUGCAUCGGCAAAAAUGUCACUCCAUCUUAAUUUCAUGAAAGAAAUAUUUCUAAGAAGAGAAAUCUUGAAUAGUUCGAUACGGUAAUACUAAGGGGGUGUACUCAAUGAAAACUUUUAGUGACUUUUUGGGAUUUAAAAAUUUAGGGGUAUUCAAUGUAAACCCUUUUUAGACUUUCUAAAAGUAUUGUUAUAUUCAAUUGAAACUUUUAUAGGCCUUUAAGAAGUCUUUAAAAAUUACUGUACAUUCAAUUGAUACUACGUUUAUAAACUUUUAAAAAGUCUCAAAAAGUUACGAUAUAUUUAAUUAAAACUUUUUAGAAAUUACUAUAAGUCUUGUAGUAUUCAAAUUUUAAUGACUUCUAGAGACUUUUAUAAAAGUAUAUGGAGUACUAACUUUUAAGUAGAAAGUACUCAUAUAAAAUCUCAAGAUUUGUCUCUUAUUAAUCACGAGAUUUUGGAAGACUUUCACAAUAUAUAUAUAUAUAUAUAUUUAUUUAUUUAUUUAUUUCAAUCUUUCUUUCCUUUUUCCUUUAUACGAACAUUAGAUAUAUGAUUACAAUUUAUUUAUUUUUCUAUUGGUUAUAUUUAUCUCCAUUUUCUAUGAAAUAAGGGUAAUUAGCACAAAAUGUCCUUAUCUUUUAAUAUUAUUGUGCAAAACGUCCAUACUUUUCAUUUUUUGGCACUUUUAUCCUUGCCUUCACAUUUUAUUACGAAAAUCAUCAUUUUCGUCAAAAUUCUUGUGUAAAAUGACUAAUAUACCCCCUAUUUAAAUGAAAUAAUAAAAAAGAAAAGAAAAUUUAAAGCAUAAAUUGCAAUCCUAUUUCCAAACUUUUUUAAAAAGUGUAAAUAAGUCCAAGUAAAUUAUCAAAAGAGUAAUUAGCACAAAAUGUCCUUAUUUCUCAUUCUUAUUGUGCAAAACGUCCAUAUCUUCCAUUUUUGACAUUUCCAUCCUUAUUUCAUAUUUCAUUGCGAAAAUCGUUAUUUUCAUUCAUUUUCUCAAUUAAAAGCCAUAAAAUGACAAAUAUACACUCAUCUUUAAAAAAAAAAAAAGAAUAAAUUGCAAAUAUAUUUUCAAAAUUUUUAAAAAAGUACAAAUAAAUUUCAAAUAAUUAAUUAAAAAACAAAAAUCACUUUUUUAAAAUUAUUUAUUUGAAAUUUAUUUGUACUUUUUUUUUUUGAAAAUUUUGGGAGUAUAAUUGUAAUUUGUUUAUUAUUUUUCUUUUCUUUAUUUUUAUUUAUUUAAAGAGAAGGGUAUAUUUGUUAUUUUACAACUUUUAAUUGAGAAAAUGGAAGAAAAUAAUGAUUUUUGUAAUGAAAUAUAAAAAUAAGGGUGAAAAUGUUAAAAAAUGAAAGGUAUGGAUGUUUUGCAGAAUAAUAAUGAAAGGUAUGGACAUUUUGUGCUAAUUAUCCUUUUAAUAAUUUAUUUGGACUCAUUUGCACUUUUUAAAAAAGUUUGGGAGUAUGAUUGCAAUUUAUUCUUUAAGUUUCUUUUCCUUUUAUUGUUUUAUUUAAAUAGGAGGUAUAUUUUUCAUUUUAUAUGAGAAAUUUGAAAAUGAUAAUUUGCGAUAUAAAAGAUUAAGGUAAGUGUAAAAAUGUCAAAAAAUGAAAUAUGGGGAUGUUUUGCACAAUAACGUUGAAAGGUAAGGACUUUUUUGCUAAUUACCCAAAAAAUUAUUGUAUUCUUAUAACAUUUUUUUUUCUUUUUUCAUUCAUUUUUUUUGGUGAAAAAUAUCUAUUUUUUAUUAAAUUAUAUAAUUUUAUAUGAAAAAUUUAUAAUUAAAUUUAAAUAUAUUGGUUUUUAUUUAUUGUUUAUUUUUAAAAGUAUAAUAUAUUAAUAAUAUUGAAUAUUAAACUUAUUGUUUAUCAUAUAUAUGUAUAAUUUUGAUUAUUAUUUAUUUAAUUAUGGCCUUAAAUUUUUAUUCUUUUUUUUUUAAUUAUAUGAGAAGAAGAAGGAAAAGGAAAAGUGGAAUUAUGGGAACCAAUACCUUGUAUGUGAUAAUUUCACGCUAUUGUACUAAAUUCACAUAAAUUCUUUUUGAAAUGAAAGUUUUUUGAAUUCUACAAAAAUCUAUAAAAAAUUUUAAAAUGAAAGUCUAUAGAAAUCUACGUAGGACUUCCACUAAUUCUAUACAAUCUAUAAAAAAAAUUCACGAAAUCCACCUAAGUCAUCACUUAAAAAAAGUUCAUCAAAGUUUGCAAAAGUUUUAAUUGAAUACACCCCCUAAAAGAAGAAUAUAAUGCUAUCUUGCAAAACAAGCUCUUCUAAAACUAAAAGAUUCGGUGAGUUUCAUAAUAUCUUACACUAAUAGCGAAUCUUUCAAUUUUAAUAGUUUGUGUGAUCUUAAUGCUAGCAUUAACUUGAGGCCUUUGUUUAUUUAUAUCAGGCUUGGUUUGGGGAGAUAAAGCAACUAGAAAUCACUUUAAUUGGCUGAUAGAUCAAUUAAAUACCAUUUGUUUGUGUUGGAGGACAUGUUUAUAAAAGUGAAAAAGUUUAUAUUUUCGAUAGAUUGCAUUAUGUUACACAUUGAAGAUCGGUAUAUAAUGAUGAUAUUGGGUUGAACAUUCUUUACAACUAGUUGGACCUUAAUUGAUAUAGAGAAAUGUAAGCUUAUCUUAAGGGUGAAAAAUGAAAGAGCUACAUUCAACAUGUUCAUAGCACCCGAGAAAUCAUCUAGUUUACUUGUCCCAAGUUAAAAAUCGUUGCAUCCUCAAGUGGUGGCUCUUCCAUAUUCCCAUCUCAUCAUUCAAUCUAGGAACACGUCAUUCUCUUCCUAUCAUUACGUUUUGAGCCACAUAGCAAUGUCUAAACAUUACUGAGGAAAAGCCCCACUCUCGUUCUUCAAUUCUUCUUUGCAUUCGUUCUCCUUGUGAUGCUUAAAUUAGUAAUCAAAUGAUAAUAUAAGGUAAUUUGAUUCAACCUGUUCAGGUGUAAAAAAGGUGAUUGAUUUCUUACUUACCACCAUCUCAUUUUAUAUCCUUCAAGUUCCUAUAACUUCUUGUCCACUUUCUUUAUUUUCAUCCCCGCUACCCCCCUCAACUUCUCUAUAAUUGUCUCAACCUCUCUAUAAUUGUCCACUUUAUCCAGCACCUAAUUCAUCAUUUUUCCUUUUCUUUUGGUCCUAUCUUAAUGUAGUGUUUGGGAUACAUGGAUUAUAUGUUGGGUUUAUGGACCCGAUUAUACUACAUAUUUUCACCUUCGAAUAUAAAUUGAGCCUCUCUAUUUUACCAUUUUGAACUCAUAUCCUGACACGAUUUUCUAGAAUGUUGAUAUUUGUUCUAGUAUGCCUCCUUUGACGAGGCUUCAAAUAUCGAACACGCGGCAACCAUCUAGCAAACUCAAUUAGACCCACACUCCACAUCAUCAUCCUACCUACCUAGUCAAGACCGUAUGUUGAGGUAGCCAAAGCGAUGCAUCACCUUAGUCGAGGUGCCAUGAGAGGCUAACCCUCCAUAGCUUAGGCAAGGUGGUACAACCUGUUGCUGAGUAAAUUUGAGGCGAUUAACUCCUAAUUAUAGAAGACAUAUCCCACAACCUAUCCCAUGAGAUCUUUCAUACAUAAUUUUUUUACGAUUAAUUGAUGUGAUAUCUUUAUAACAAACGCUUAACAGUCAACUCAGUCUACUUUUCAAAUAUUAGACUUAGACUAUAAAGUGUCUAGUUUUUAGAAACAUUAAAAGCCCAUGAACAUCGAAUUAAUGGAGUAACGUCAAGAAGAAGACACCUCGAUAAUCAGGAUUAGACUACGAGUAUUUUCAUCUAAUGAUAACUAUUCAUCUUCUACUAUUAUAAAACUUCACACUUAUUGUCAUUUGAAGAUAAUGCAAAUUUACUCUCUCUCUCUCUCUCUCUCUCUCUUUUUGUUCUCUAUCUAUCAUUGGUGCCCAAAUACCAUUGUGGUCCAAGUCUUUCACACAUUCCACACCCAAAUACGUUCCUUUAGCAACUACCUUUUGACGUACAAAUUAAUGCAACCCACAUGGUCCACACGUAAAAAUAGCUUUCUCGCUUUAAAUCUAAAAUGACUUUAUUUUUAUUUCUACAGUUCAAUAAUUCCAUUUGAAGAUUACAAAUUUCUUCAUAAUUUUUUAAAGGAAAGUAGAAUCAAUUUUGACCUGUAUUAUGGUUGAUAUAUUUUCUAUAUUUUCCACGACUGCUUUUUGACCUAUGCUUUCUUUCUCUUUUAUUUUAUUUGAGCCCCAUUUUAUUCAAAUAAUAAUAAUAAUAAUAAUAAUAAUAGUAAUCUAAAGUUAUUUUCAAUUGCAUUCUUCAAUAAAAUAAUAUUACACGUAAAUCAAUUUUUUUUUUUAUUUUUUAGCUAAAAAUUUUCAAAAUACUUUUUUUUUUCUUCUCAUUAAGGUGGGGUUCAAACAGGGCUUUAUUUCACAUCAGAUUUUUUUUCAUAAUUUACCCCAAAUCACGGGAGCAAACGGACGAAUUAUGAAAGCAUGUCAUUUCCAAUUCAAUGGCGUUGGUGUACUGUGUGUCCAAAUCAUUACCAGAUGAAAAGAAAAUUUCCAUGUCAAAUUCCUUUCCCACCAAUAGUCACACUGAGAUGGCAAAAUAUUCCUUUUCAACUUUAGUGUCCCAUCCCAAGGGAUGGAGAUGAGAUGGGAUGGGAAACCUAGUUUCCACCUCGAUUCUUAUUUUUUAUAAUCAUUUUACCAUUAUUUAUAGUUUAAAUUAAAUCAAAUUGAAAAAAGAAAUAAGUAAAUAGAGAAAUGUGACGGAAAAUUGUGAUAUGUUAAUCUUGUCCUAUCCUGACAGCAUCUCACGUAGUGAAAAUCUCAAUUGAUCGAGAUUGAGCUACCUUGAUCCUGUCCCUUUGCCUUUCAAAAUUGUUAUCUAUUUCGUAAUCAACAUUGGAGUAUUCUAUAAGCAAAAGUGAUUUGUUGUUGUGCUUAUGUAUAAUUACUAAAAUGAACAUGAAGUAUAAUUAUUAAUAUUAUUAGUAAUGUAAAAUUUAUUUAUUUUUAUAAUAAUAAGUAAUAUAUCAAAUAUUUUUAAGGCAAUGUUCUUACAAUAAUUAAAUUAUAAAAUAUCAUCUAUUAAAUCUCAAAAUUUAUUCAAUUAUAAAAUAAAAGCAUAAUCCCUAUAGUUAAAAAAUUCAAAUAAAUCUAUUAUCUGUAAUGCAUCAAACUUGGUUUAGGAAGGUUUCUCAAUAUAACCACAUUCGUGUAAUAGGAAAAAUAUCAAAUAAGCCUAAUUUAAUUUUAAUGUGGAUUGCGAAAUGGAAGAUGAUUUAUUGAAUACUAAUAAACUCAGGACAUAAAAGGCAUUACUUUACUAAUUAGGUUAAAAUUGGUCUUUUAAUAAUGAACAAAUGGAAAAGUAAAAGCAGAAUAAGGAUCAUUAUAUUGCCCCCAACAAUUUUUAUUUCUUACACCACAUUUUAAUUAUAGUUAAGCUUUUCAAUCUUUACUCAUUGUAAGAAUUAUUUAUUUAAUUUUUUGGUCAAUUUCUUAUCUUCGGUCUUCCAUUAAUUAGUACAUCUCGUUCUUAAUAAUGAUUUAUGCUAAAAUAUUUUUCAUAUUUUUUUUAUUUAAUUGUUUUCUUAAACUAUGAUAGAAAAAUAAGUUGUUAUACAGUGUUUCAAUGAACUUUUUGGACAUAAACUAAGAUCAAAUAUAAAAUAUGUUAACUAAUAAAAAUUUUGAGUAUAAAAAUGACAUAGAAAUUGUUAAGAGCAUAAAUGUUAUAAUGAAUAAAGACUCAGAGACUUAGGUUUAAUUAAAAUGUGGUGCAAAAAAUAAAAAUUGUGUUUUAAAUACAAUUUACCCAUUUGAUAAAUAACAUUGUUGUUACUUCUCAAAAUCUGAGGUUAGUAGAUUAUAUAUAUUAUUCCGUAAUCACUCUUUUCAAAAUUUACCAAUUCCCUAAAACUUUAGAGAUUUUUUGAUAAUCGAAAACUGGCCUUAACGACGUCGAAAUUCUGCUGACUAUCAACUGCCUCUCGAGAAUUGAAAAGUCGCAAAAUGCCAAUACCACAAUUUGAAUAAAUAAAUUCUCAAUUGAUUUAAUGAAAAGCACCAAAGAAAGAAACAAAUAUUCUGAAUGGAAUAAAAGGUUCCCCAAAUUCAUUGAAUAUUGCUCUACCUCUCUCAUAAGUGACAAUUCCACACAAGUUUGGGCUUUAAGCAGAAGGGGAGACGGAUGAGUCCGUUGCAGCCCUAUUUUUGGCAAAGUAUUCUUCAGCACAUGCAAGGUUCUUUACGACGGAUAGCUUCACCCACUUCUUUCGACCGGGAAGAGCAGUCAAGGAACAACCUGCAGCCUCAAGCUUCUCCUUUGCUGCAGUCGACAAGGCACGAGCCUUGAAGUUUA